This 23-nucleotide non-coding RNA is filed under the name Arabidopsis thaliana (thale cress). The record is from RNAcentral. Lineage: Eukaryota; Viridiplantae; Streptophyta; Magnoliopsida; Brassicales; Brassicaceae.
GGCCAAGAGUUCGUUGAUAAGGA